Molecule: ribosomal RNA, 3462 nt
Rfam family: Bacterial large subunit ribosomal RNA
Source: Rfam
UUGUAAGUAAUUUAGAGCGUACGGUGGAUGCCUUGGCACCAGGAGCCGAUGAAGGACGUAGGAGGCUGCGAUAAGCCUCGGGGAGCUGUCAACCGAGCUGUGAUCCGAGGGUGUCCGAAUGGGGAAACCCAGCACGAGUGAUGUCGUGUUACCUGCACCUGAAUAUAUAGGGUGUGUGGAGGGAACGUGGGGAAGUGAAACAUCUCAGUACCCACAGGAAGAGAAAACAAUUGUGAUUCCGUGAGUAGUGGCGAGCGAAAGCGGAGGAGGCCAAACUUUGUGCGUGUGAUACCCGGCAGGGGUUGCGUAUGGAGGGUUGUGGGGUUUGCAUGUGAUGGUUCUGCCGGACUGUCCGACAGUGAWAAAUCAUGGUGUUAGUCGAAGUGGUCUGGAACGGCCUGUCGUAGAGGGUGAGAGUCCCGUAGACGAAAACAUUGUGACUGUCGAGUGUGGAUGCCCAAGUAGCAGCGGGCCCGUGAAAUCUGCUGUGAAUCUGUCGGGACCACCCGAUAAGCCUGAAUACUCCCUGGUGACCGAUAGCGGACUAGUACCGUGAGGGAAAGGUGAAAAGUACCCCGGGAGGGGAGUGAAAUAGUACCUGAAACCGUGCGCUUACAAUCCGUCAGAGCCUGCGAAUGUGAAUCUGUCGGGACCACCCGAUAAGCCUGAAUACUCCCUGGUGACCGAUAGCGGACUAGUACCGUGAGGGAAAGGUGAAAAGUACCCCGGGAGGGGAGUGAAAUAGUACCUGAAACCGUGCGCUUACAAUCCGUCAGAGCCUGCGAACAGUUUACUGUUGUGGGUGAUGGCGUGCCUUUUGAAGAAUGAGCCUGCGAGUUAGUGGCAUGUCGCGAGGUUAACCCGUGUGGGGUAGCCGUAGCGAAAGCGAGUCCGAAUAGGGCGUAUCACCUUCGGGUGUGUAGUGGCGUGUUCUAGACCCGAAGCGGAGUGAUCUACCCAUGGCCAGGUUGAAGCGACGGUAAGACGUCGUGGAGGACCGAACCCACUUAGGUUGAAAACUGAGGGGAUGAGUUGUGGGUAGGGGUGAAAGGCCAAUCAAACUCCGUGUGUAGUGGCGUGUUCUAGACCCGAAGCGGAGUGAUCUACCCAUGGCCAGGUUGAAGCGACGGUAAGACGUCGUGGAGGACCGAACCCACUUAGGUUGAAAACUGAGGGGAUGAGUUGUGGGUAGGGGUGAAAGGCCAAUCAAACUCCGUGAUAGCUGGUUCUCCCCGAAAUGCAUUUAGGUGCAGCGUCACGUGUUUCUCGUCGGAGGUAGAGCUACUGGAUGGUCUAGGGGGCUUACCGGCUUACCGAAAUCAGCCAAACUCCGAAUGCCGAUGAGUGAGAGCGUGGCAGUGAGACUGCGGGCGAUAAGGUUCGUAGUCGAGAGGGAAACAGCCCAGAUCGCCAGCUAAGGUCCCUAAGCGUGUACUAAGUGGAAAAGGAUGUGGGGUCGCGAAGACAACCAGGAGGUUGGCUUAGAAGCAGCCACCCUUGAAAGAGUGCGUAAUAGCUCACUGGUCAAGUGAUCCUGCGCCGACAAUGUAGCGGGGCUCAAGUACACCACCGAAGCUGCGGCACUCACACAAUAGCCCGCACUGUUCCCACGGGGAUGGUGCCAGGUGUGUGGGUGGGUAGGGGAGCGUCGUGCAGCCGUGGAAGCGCCGGGGUGACCUAGGUGUGGAGGCUGUGCGAGUGAGAAUGCAGGCAUGAGUAGCGAAAGACGAGUGAGAAACUCGUCCGCCGAAUGACCAAGGGUUCCUGGGCCAGGUUAAUCCGCCCAGGGUGAGUCGGGACCUAAGACGAGGCCGACAGGCGUAGCCGAUGGACAACGGGUUGAUAUUCCCGUACCCGUGUGAACGCGCCCCUGGUGAAUCAGUGAUACUAACCGCCCUGAAUCCCGAUGACGGAUCUCUUUCGAGAGUGAUGCGUUGGGUGGAUGCGUGGGACCUGAUCUGGUAGUAGCCAAGCGAUGGGGUGACGCAGGAAGGUAGCUGAGCCAGUCAGUGGUAAUACUGGUGUAAGCCUGUAGGGCGAACGGUAGGCAAAUCCGCCGUUCAYAUAGCCUGAGAGGUGAUGCGUAGCCGAUUGAGGCGAAUUCAGUGAUCCUAUGCUGCCGAGAAAAGCCUCUAGCGAGCUUUCACACGGCCCGUACCCCAAACCGACACAGGUGGUCAGGUAGAGAAUACUGAGGCGAUCGAGAUAACUAUGGUUAAGGAACUCGGCAAAAUGCCCCCGUAACUUCGGGAGAAGGGGGACCACGCYCGGUGAUCGGACUUGCUCCGUGAGCUGGGUGGGGUCGCAGAGACCAGUGAGAAGCGACUGUUUACUAAAAACACAGGUCCGUGCGAAGUCGUAAGACGAUGUAUACGGACUGACGCCUGCCCGGUGCUGGAAGGUUAAGAGGACCGGUUAACUGCCCUYGUGGUGGUGAAGCUGAGAAUUUAAGCCCCAGUAAACGGCGGUGGUAACUAUAACCAUCCUAAGGUAGCGAAAUUCCUUGUCGGGUAAGUUCCGACCUGCACGAAUGGCGUAACGACUUCUCAGCUGUCUCAACCAUAGACUCGGCGAAAUUGCAUUACGAGUAAAGAUGCUCGUUACGCGCGGCAGGACGAAAAGACCCCGGGACCUUCACUAUAGCUUGGUAUUGGUGUUCGGUUCGGUUUGUGUAGGAUAGGUGGGAGACUGUGAAGCGGUGACGCCAGUUACUGUGGAGUCGUUGUUGAAAUACCACUCUGAUCGUAUUGGAUACCUCAACCUCGGACCAUGAUCUGGUUCAGGGACAGUGCCUGGUGGGUAGUUUAACUGGGGCGGUUGCCUCCCAAAAUGUAACGGAGGCGCCCAAAGGUUCCCUCAGCCUGGUUGGCAAUCAGGUGUCGAGUGCAAGUGCACAAGGGAGCUUGACUGUGAGACUGACAGGUCGAGCAGGGACGAAAGUCGGGACUAGUGAUCCGGCACCGGCAUGUGGAAGCGGUGUCGCUCAACGGAUAAAAGGUACCCCGGGGAUAACAGGCUGAUCUUCCCCAAGAGUCCAUAUCGACGGGAUGGUUUGGCACCUCGAUGUCGGCUCGUCGCAUCCUGGGGCUGGAGUAGGUCCCAAGGGUUGGGCUGUUCGCCCAUUAAAGCGGCACGCGAGCUGGGUUUAGAACGUCGUGAGACAGUUCGGUCUCUAUCCGCCGCGCGCGUCAGAAACUUGAGGAAGGCUGUCCCUAGUACGAGAGGACCGGGACGGACGAACCUCUGGUGUGCCAGUUGUUCCACCAGGAGCACCGCUGGUUAGCUACGUUCGGAAGGGAUAACCGCUGAAAGCAUCUAAGCGGGAAGCCUGUUCCAAGAUGAGGUUUCUCACCCCCUUUGGGGGGGUAAGGCCCCCGGCAGACCACCGGGUUGAUAGGCCAGAACUGGAAGUCGGGUAACCGAUGCAGGUGACUGGUACUAAUAGGCCGAGGACUUACCACA